UGAUAAGCAUCCCAUAGCCAUGAGCCAA
RNAcentral lists this non-coding RNA (28 nucleotides) under Mus musculus (house mouse). Lineage: Eukaryota; Metazoa; Chordata; Mammalia; Rodentia; Muridae. The record is from RNAcentral.